AUACGGAGGGAGCAAGCGUUAUUCGGAAUCACUGGGCGUAAAGGACGCGUAGGCGGGUUUGUAAGUCAGGUGUGAAAUCCUACAGCUCAACUGUAGAACUGCACUUGAAACUACAGACCUAGAGUAUGGAAGGGGCAGAUGGAAUUAGUGGUGUAGGGGUAAGAUCCGUAGAUAUCACUAGGAAUACCGAAAGCGAAGGCGAUCUGCUGGGACAUUACUGACGCUGAGGCGUGAAAGCGUGGGGAGCAAACAGGAUUAGAAACCCCGGUAGUCC
This 274-nucleotide ribosomal RNA is filed under the name uncultured bacterium. Its description in RNAcentral is "partial 16S ribosomal RNA". It matches the Rfam family "Bacterial small subunit ribosomal RNA", at positions 523 to 796 of the family's 1533-position model. The record is from RNAcentral.